CCUACGGGCGGCAGCAGUGGGGAAUAUUGGACAAUGGGCGAAAGCCUGAUCCAGCCAUGCCGCGUGUGUGAAGAAGGCCUUCGGGUUGUAAAGCACUUUCAGUGGGGAAGAAAGCCUUGGGGCUAAUACCCUCGAGGAAGGACAUCACCCACAGAAGAAGCACCGGCUAACUCCGUGCCAGCAGCCGCGGUAAUACGGAGGGUGCGAGCGUUAAUCGGAAUUACUGGGCGUAAAGCGCGCGUAGGCGGUCUGAUAAGCCGGUUGUGAAAGCCCCGGGCUCAACCUGGGAACGGCAUCCGGAACUGUCAGGCUAGAGUGCAGGAGAGGAAGGUAGAAUUCCCGGUGUAGCGGUGAAAUGCGUAUAGAUCGGGAGGAAUACCAGUGGCGAAGGCGGCCUUCUGGACUGACACUGACGCUGAGGUGCGAAAGCGUGGGUAGCAAACAGGAUUAGAUACCCUAGUAGUC
Molecule: ribosomal RNA, 465 nt
Filed under: Vreelandella stevensii
Lineage: Bacteria; Pseudomonadati; Pseudomonadota; Gammaproteobacteria; Oceanospirillales; Halomonadaceae
Description: partial 16S ribosomal RNA
Rfam family: Bacterial small subunit ribosomal RNA
Source: RNAcentral